Molecule: ribosomal RNA, 346 nt
Filed under: uncultured eukaryote
Lineage: Eukaryota
Description: SSU rRNA
Rfam family: Eukaryotic small subunit ribosomal RNA
Source: RNAcentral
AUAGCGUAUAUUAAAGUUGUUGCAGUUAAAAAGCUCGUAGUUGAACUUCAGACCUGGCUGGGCGGUCAGCUUAUCGGCUAGUACUGUCCGGCUGGGCCUUACUUCUUGGUGAGCCGGUGUGCCCUUUAUUGGGUGCGUCGGUGAACCAGGACCUUUACCUUGAGAAAAUUAGAGUGUUCAAAGCAGGCCUAUGCCCGAAUACAUUAGCAUGGAAUAAUAAAAUAGGACGUGCGGUUCUAUUUUGUUGGUUUCUAGAGUCGCCGUAAUGAUUAAUAGGGACAGUUGGGGGCAUUGGUAUUCCGGCGCUAGAGGUGAAAUUCUUGGAUUGCCGGAAGACUAACUACUG